RNAcentral lists this ribosomal RNA (484 nucleotides) under uncultured bacterium. RNAcentral's name for it is "partial 16S ribosomal RNA". It matches the Rfam family "Bacterial small subunit ribosomal RNA", at positions 28 to 505 of the family's 1533-position model. The record is from RNAcentral.
GAUGAACGCUAGCGGCAGGCUUAACACAUGCAAGUCGAGGGGCAGCGCGGGAUAGCAAUAUCCUGGCGGCGACCGGCGGAAGGGUGCGUAACGCGUGAGCGACAUGCCCGUUGCCCGGGGACAACCGGUGGAAACGCCGACUAAUCCCCGAUGGGAUACGAUGCUUCAUGGCAUUGUAUUGAAAGUUACGGCGGCGACGGAUUGGCUCGCGUCCGAUUAGCUGGUUGGCGGGGUAACGGCCCACCAAGGCUGCGAUCGGUAGGGGUUCUGAGAGGAAGGCCCCCCACAAUGGGACUGAGACACGGCCCAUACUCCUACGGGAGGCAGCAGUGAGGAAUAUUGGUCAAUGGGCGGAAGCCUGAACCAGCCAUGCCGCGUGCGGGAAGGAGGCCCUAUGGGCUGUGAACCGCUUUUGCCUGGGGGCAAUAAGGGCGUCGCGCACGUCCGAUGAGAGUACCAGGCGAAUAAGCAUCGGCUAACUCCG